UGUCAUUUCCUUGAGGGCUGCUGAAAUUCCUGGGAUGCUAAGUCGGUGGCAUACAAAAUGCCCCACCAUUUCCCAACCACAUAAUGACAUCCCCCCUCCUUUUGCCUGGGUCAGCGAAUUUGCUGGCCGGCACACCCCUGAAAACAAGGUCAUUAUUGUUGAAAGAGAAAGAAAAAGAGUGAGGGAGAAGGGGGGAAAAACCCUGAAGAUCAAAUUAUUUUUUAAAAUUACAACCCAAUCCUGACAUUCCCUGGGACCCAGUCCCUCAAGGAAAGCAGCAGGGACUGGGAGCGGCGUGGGAGCUGGGGGUUGAUAUGUCAGCUUCUAGCAAAGGCUUUGGGAAUUCCAGCAGAAUUCAGACACCGAAUCUACCACUUCCUACCUAUGCAAGCCCAGGACUCAAUAUGGCUCCUGUUUUCCUGGUUGGACUCCGACUGAUGAUAAUGCCAUGAGGUCAAUCGUGUGAUGCCGAACAGGAGCCUCUGCUUCUAUGAAAAUUGGGAAGAUUCAAUGAAGGCAAAUUGCUAAAAAAUAAAUUGAAUUUGGUAUGGGUGGGACAUUGUAAAGGAUGGAAAGAAAUAGUAAAAUCUAGAUGAUGCCACAUGCUCAUUCUUUCCUUAGCAUCUUUACGUUCAUAUUCCACGUUAAAGAAAUCAAAACUACGCCAGGCAUGGGGGCUCAUACUUGUAAUCCCAGCACUUUGAGAGGCCGAGGCAAGAGGAUCAUCUGAAGCCAGGAUUUCGAGACCAGCCUGGGCAAUAUAGUGAGACCCUGACUCUACAGAAAAAAAAAUUUAAAUUAGCUGGGCGUGGUAGUGCACACCUGUAAUCCUAGCUACUUGGGAGGCUGAAGCGAGAGGAUUGCUUGAGCCCAGGAGCUCAAGGUUACAGUGAGCUAUGAUUGCACCACUGCACUCUAGACUGGGCAACAGAGCAAGACCCCGUUUCUAAAAAAAAAAAAAAAAAAGAAAGAAAAGAAAAAAGAAACCCAAACUGGAAAUUGUUAAGCUAGAAGAACAAGAGGAAGGCCAUUUAAUGCAUAUUUAUAAGUUUAAAGCUAAAAGAAGGGUUUAAGAUACUAUUUUUAUGAUUCCCUUUUAUUUUUAUAUAAUAUUUCUUAUGAUUCCCUACUUCAACCAUAUUUUUUUAUUAACCUGAUUUAAGUUUUUUUCAGUGGAGAACAAGAGGAAGCCUGACUGCCCACUGCACGACAGGGGAAUGCACAAUCAGAAUUUCAAGGGAAGGGAGUCCCUGGAAAUUGAGCACCUACUAUGUGCCAAGCACACUCACAAUUAUUUUCUCAUUGAGUCCUCUUUAUGACUUUGGGAGGUGGGCACUACAGUUGGCUCCAUUUCACAGGCGAGGAAACCGAGGCUCAGAAGAGUAAAGCCUCUUGCCCAGAAUCUCACAGUUCAUAAGAAACAAAGCAGGCUUCAGGUAUGGCUGGUUUCAGCCUCCUUGUCCUUUCUGCUUCCCUUGGCAGCUUCCCCAGGGCUGUUUAAAGCUUAGCACAUGCUUAUGAGGGGGCAUGUAGAGAUGAUAAGCCCCUUAGCGGCAAGGACCAAGCUUGGCUCCAAUUCACCACAUUGCCCCGAGAAUG
This 1599-nucleotide long non-coding RNA is filed under the name Homo sapiens (human). Its description in RNAcentral is "HSALNT0003391". The stretch from base 802 to 949 matches the Rfam family "Metazoan signal recognition particle RNA". Lineage: Eukaryota; Metazoa; Chordata; Mammalia; Primates; Hominidae. The record is from RNAcentral.